This 464-nucleotide ribosomal RNA is filed under the name uncultured bacterium. RNAcentral describes it as "partial 16S ribosomal RNA". It matches the Rfam family "Bacterial small subunit ribosomal RNA", at positions 29 to 507 of the family's 1533-position model. The record is from RNAcentral.
ACGAACGCUGGCGGCGUGCUUAACACAUGCAAGUCGAACGGAAAGGCCCUGCUUGCAGGGUACUCGAGUGGCGAACGGGUGAGUAACACGUGGGUGAUCUGCCCUGCACUUCGGGAUAAGCCUGGGAAACUGGGUCUAAUACCGGAUAGGAGCCAUUUUUAGUGUGAUGGUUGGAAAGUUUUUUCGGUGUAGGAUGAGCUCGCGGCCUAUCAGCUUGUUGGUGGGGUAAUGGCCUACCAAGGCGGCGACGGGUAGCCGGCCUGAGAGGGUGAACGGCCACAUUGGGACUGAGAUACGGCCCAGACUCCUACGGGAGGCAGCAGUGGGGAAUAUUGCACAAUGGGCGCAAGCCUGAUGCAGCGACGCCGCGUGGGGGAUGACGGCCUUCGGGUUGUAAACUCCUUUCGCUAGGGACGAAGCUUUUUGUGACGGUACCUAGAUAAGAAGCACCGGCUAACUACGUG